AAUCCUUUAACGAGGAUCAAUUGGAGGGCAAGUCUGGUGCCAGCAGCCGCGGUAAUUCCAGCUCCAAUAGCGUAUAUUAAAGUUGUUGCGGUUAAAAAGCUCGUAGUUGGAUCUUCGGCCGAGGGAUGCGGUCCCCCGUUGGGCGGUUACUGCUUUUCCUGGCCUAACUUACCGGUUCUUCGUUUUGUGCUCUUAAUUGAGUGCCUAACGUGACUGGAACGUUUACUUUGAAAAAAUUAGAGUGCUCAAAGCAGGCAUAUUGCCUGAAUAGUGGUGCAUGGAAUAAUGGAAUAAGAUCCUGGUUUUGUUUUAUUGGUUCGAAGCGAUGAUAAUGAUUGAAGGGGACAGACGGGGGCAUUCGUAUUGCGACGUUAGAGGUGAAAUUCUUGGAUCGUCGCAAGACGGACUACUGCGAAAGCAUUUGCCAAGAAUGUUUUCAUCAAUCAAGAACGAAAGUCUGAGGUUCGAAGGCGAUCAGAUACCGCCCUAGUUCAGACCGUAAACGAUGCCAACUUGCGAUCCACAGGCGUUAUAUAACGACCUUGUGGGAAGCAUCCGGGAAACCAAAGUUUUUGGGUUCCGGGGGAAGUAUGGUUGCAAAUCUGAAACUUAAAGGAAUUGACGGAAGGGCACCACCAGGAGUGGAGCCUGCGGCUUAAUUUGACCCAACACGGGGAAACUCACCCGGCCCGGACACCGUAAGGAUUGACAGAUUGAUUGCUCUUUCUUGAUUUGGUGGGUGGUGGUGCAUGGCCGUUCUUAAUUGGUGGAGCGAUUUGUCUGGUUAAUUCCGAUAACGAACGAGACUCUAGCCUGCUAAAUAGGCAGCGGACUUAUGUCCGCUGAACUUCUUAGAGGGACAAGCAGCUUCUAGCUGCACGAGAUUGAGCAAUAACAGGUCUGUGAUGCCCUUAGAUGUCCGGGGCUGCACGCGCGCUACACUGAAGGAUCCAACAUGCUUCUCUACCUUACCCGGAAGGGUUAGGUAACCCGUUGAAACUCCUUCGUGAUAGGAAUAGGGAAUUGCAAUUAUUUCCCUUGAACGAGGAAUUCCUAGUAAGUGCGGGUCAUCAACUCGCGCUGAUUACGUCCCUGCCCUUUGUACACACCGCCCGUCGCUACUACCGAUUGGAGAUUGACGAGAAGUGUCGGGAACGGUCUCUGGACUGCUUUCAGUAGCCCAGAGUACUGUGAACCUCAU
This 1201-nucleotide ribosomal RNA is filed under the name metagenome. RNAcentral describes it as "SSU rRNA". It matches the Rfam family "Eukaryotic small subunit ribosomal RNA", at positions 528 to 1759 of the family's 1831-position model. The record is from RNAcentral.